Molecule: ribosomal RNA, 433 nt
Filed under: uncultured bacterium
Lineage: Bacteria
Description: partial 16S ribosomal RNA
Rfam family: Bacterial small subunit ribosomal RNA
Source: RNAcentral
AACGAACGCUGGCGGCAUGCCUAACACAUGCAAGUCGAACGAGACCUUCGGGUCUAGUGGCGCACGGGUGCGUAACGCGUGGGAACCUGCCCUUAGGUUCGGAAUAACUCCCCGAAAGGGGUGCUAAUACCGGAUAAUGUCUUCGGACCAAAGAUUUAUCGCCUUUGGAUGGGCCCGCGUUGGAUUAGCUAGUUGGUAGGGUAAAAGCCUACCAAGGCGACGAUGCAUAGCUGGUCUGAGAGGAUGAUCAGCCACACUGGGACUGAGACACGGCCCAGACUCCUACGGGACGCAGCAGUGGGGAAUAUUGGACAAUGGGCGAAAGCCUGAUCCAGCAAUGCCGCGUGAGUGAUGAAGGCCUUAGGGUUGUAAAGCUCUUUUACCCGGGAUGAUAAUGACAGUACCGGGAGAAUAAGCUCCGGCUAACUCCGUG